RNAcentral lists this long non-coding RNA (322 nucleotides) under Erythranthe guttata (spotted monkey flower). RNAcentral's name for it is "long non-coding RNA (EGUT_LNC001886)". The record is from RNAcentral. Lineage: Eukaryota; Viridiplantae; Streptophyta; Magnoliopsida; Lamiales; Phrymaceae.
CAGCGGCACGUGCUGUUAGUUACAUUUCCGGCACAAGGCCACAUCAACCCAUCCCUUCAGUUCGCCAAGAGGCUGACCGCCAUUGGCAUCAAGGUCACCUUCGCCACCAGCCUCUACGCACGGCGGCGCAUGGCCAGAACCGCCGCCGGACUGCCCAAGGGGGUCACCUUCGCCGCCUUCUCCGACGGGUACGACGACGGGUUCAAUCCCGGAAACGACGACGCCGGAAAGUACAUGACGGAGAUUAGAAGCAGAGGCUCCCAAAGCCUGAGAGACACCAUCCUCGCCGCCGCCGAGCAGGGCCGCCCCGUCACCCAACUGG